This is a non-coding RNA of Hydrogenobaculum sp. Y04AAS1, 73 nucleotides long. The record is from Rfam. NCBI's taxonomy places the organism in Bacteria, Pseudomonadati, Aquificota, Aquificia, Aquificales, Aquificaceae.
GGGGAUGUAGCUCAGUCGGGAGAGCGAUGCCAUCGCAAGGCAUAGGUCGGGGGUUCAACUCCCCUCAUCUCCA